Molecule: ribosomal RNA, 284 nt
Filed under: uncultured Sandona
Lineage: Eukaryota; Cercozoa; Glissomonadida
Description: partial 18S ribosomal RNA
Rfam family: Eukaryotic small subunit ribosomal RNA (bases 107-284)
Source: RNAcentral
GACUUCUGGUUUAAUGUGCCUGGCCCGCGGUCGCAAGACAUGUGAGUGCCGGUGCGCGUUUACCAUCCUUCCAGGAAACGUGCCUUGCCCUUAACUGGGUGUGGUACGGGAUCUGGAUCAUUUACUUUGAAAAAAUUAGAGUGUUUAAAGCAGGCUUAUGCCAUGAAUACAUUAGCAUGGAAUAAUAAUCUAGGACUUCGGUUCUAUUUUGUUGGUUUCUAUAACUGAAGUAAUGAUUGAUAGGGACAGUUGGGGGUGCUAGUAUUGGCCGGUCAGAAAGCAUU